RNAcentral lists this transfer RNA (73 nucleotides) under Zingiber officinale. RNAcentral describes it as "tRNA-Ala". The record is from RNAcentral. Lineage: Eukaryota; Viridiplantae; Streptophyta; Magnoliopsida; Zingiberales; Zingiberaceae.
GGGAAUGUAGUUCAGAUGGUAGAGCACGCUCUUAGCAUGCUAGAGAUAUGGAGUUUGAUACUCCACUUUUCUA